UGAGAACCAAUCAUCACGUCCCUGCCUACUUCGCUCGGCUCGGCGCUAAACUUGCACUCCAGGUACUCUAUCUUAGAUAUGCUUAUUUUGAAACCUUUAGACUCGAGAGUCUGUCUCCAUACGUCUAACCUUUCGAUAACACCGACCAUCAUCUCAUCUAUCAAUACUAUGUCAUCAGCAAAUAGCAUACACCAAGGCACAUCCCCUUGAAUAUAUCGGGUUAGAGCAUCUAUCACUAAGGCAAACAAGAGGGGGCUCAGCGCCGAUCCUUGAUGGAG
This 278-nucleotide long non-coding RNA is filed under the name Nicotiana benthamiana. Its description in RNAcentral is "long non-coding RNA (NBEN_LNC014766)". The record is from RNAcentral. Lineage: Eukaryota; Viridiplantae; Streptophyta; Magnoliopsida; Solanales; Solanaceae.